GGACUACCCGGGUUUCUAAUCCUGUUUGCUCCCCACGCUCUCGCGCCUCAGUGUCAGUAUCUGUCCAGGUAGCCGCCUUCGCCACUGGUGUUCCUUCCGAUCUCUACGCAUUUCACCGCUACACCGGAAAUUCCACUACCCUCUACAGUACUCUAGUCACGCAGUUUCGCUUGCAGGUCCCAGGUUAAGCCCGGGGAUUUCACAAACAACUUACAUGACCACCUACGCGCCCUUUACGCCCAGUAACUCCGAUUAACGCUUGCACCCUCUGUAUUACCGCGGCUGCUGGCAC
RNAcentral lists this ribosomal RNA (292 nucleotides) under uncultured bacterium. RNAcentral's name for it is "partial 16S ribosomal RNA". The record is from RNAcentral.